GUGAAUCAUCAAAUUUUUGAACGCAAAUUGCACUCUCUUCGGAGAGUAUGCCUGUUUGAGGGUCAGCCUAAAAAAAAAAUCGACAUAGUCGAUGUUUCGCGGUGACAUUCGUCGGAAAUUUGGUCAUCUUAAAUCUUUUGAUUUUAAAUGGUUUAAAAUUUUCGUUAAGAUUUUAAGAACG
Molecule: unclassified non-coding RNA, 181 nt
Filed under: Glomus sp.
Lineage: Eukaryota; Fungi; Glomeromycota; Glomeromycetes; Glomerales; Glomeraceae
Description: partial contains 5.8S ribosomal RNA and internal transcribed spacer 2
Rfam family: 5.8S ribosomal RNA (bases 1-65)
Source: RNAcentral